RNAcentral lists this ribosomal RNA (741 nucleotides) under uncultured Staphylococcus sp. Its description in RNAcentral is "bacterial SSU rRNA". It matches the Rfam family "Bacterial small subunit ribosomal RNA", at positions 129 to 856 of the family's 1533-position model. The record is from RNAcentral. Lineage: Bacteria; Bacillati; Bacillota; Bacilli; Caryophanales; Staphylococcaceae.
CCUAUAAGACUGGGAUAACUUCGGGAAACCGGAGCUAAUGCCGGAUAACAUUUGGAACCGCAUGGUUCUAAAGUAAAAGAUGGUUUUGCUAUCACUUAUAGAUGGACCCGCGCCGUAUUAGCUAGUUGGUAAGGUAACGGCUUACCAAGGCAACGAUACGUAGCCGACCUGAGAGGGUGAUCGGCCACACUGGAACUGAGACACGGUCCAGACUCCUACGGGAGGCAGCAGUAGGGAAUCUUCCGCAAUGGACGAAAGUCUGACGGAGCAACGCCGCGUGAGUGAUGAAGGUUUUCGGGUCGUAAAACUCUGUUAUUAGGGAAGAACAAAUGUGUAAGUAACUGUGCACAUCUUGACGGUACCUAAUCAGAAAGCCACGGCUAACUACGUGCCAGCAGCCGCGGUAAUACGUAGGUGGCAAGCGUUAUCCGGAAUUAUUGGGCGUAAAGCGCGCGUAGGCGGUUUCUUAAGUCUGAUGUGAAAGCCCACGGCUCAACCGUGGAGGGUCAUUGGAAACUGGGAAACUUGAGUACAGAAGAGGAAAGUGGAAUUCCAUGUGUAGCGGUGAAAUGCGCAGAGAUAUGGAGGAACACCAGUGGCGAAGGCGACUUUCUGGUCUGUAACUGACGCUGAUGUGCGAAAGCGUGGGGAUCAAACAGGAUUAGAUACCCUGGUAGUCCACGCCGUAAACGAUGAGUGCUAAGUGUUAGGGGGUUUCCGCCCCUUAGUGCUGCAGCUAAC